ACACCAUUGAGCUCGACCUCAGAUCAGGUAGGAGUACCCGCUGAACUUAAGCAUAUCAAUAAGCGGAGGAAAAGAAACCAACAGGGAUUGCCCCAGUAGCGGCGAGUGAAGCGGCAAGAGCUCAGAUUUGAAAUCGUGCUAAUUUUUUUGGCACGAGUUGUAGAGUGUAGGCGGGAGUCUUUGUGGAGCACGGUGUCCAAGUCCCUUGGAACAGGGCGCCUGAGAGGGUGAGAGCCCCGUGGGGUGCCGUGCGAAGCUCUGAGGCCCUGCUGACGAGUCGAGUUGUUUGGGAAUGCAGCUCCAAGUGGGUGGUAAAUUCCAUCUAAGGCUAAAUACUGGCGAGAGACCGAUAGCGAACAAGUACUGUGAAGGAAAGAUGAAAAGCACUUUGAAAAGAGAGUGAAACAGCACGUGAAAUUGUUGAAAGGGAAGGGUAUUGGGCCCGACAUGGGGAGUGCGCACCGCUGUCUCUUGUAGGCGGCGCUCUGGGCGCUCUCUGGGCCAGCAUCGGUUCUUGCUGCGGGAGAAUGGGUGCCGGAAAGUGGCUCUUCGGAGUGUUAUAGCCGGCGCCAGAUACCGCGUGCGGGGACCGAGGACUGCGGCUUCUGUCUCGGAUGCUGGCACAACGGCGCAAUACCGCCCGUCUUGAAAACAUGGACCAAGGAGUCUACCGUCUAUGCCGAGUGUUUGGGUGUAAAACCCCGUACGCGUAAUGAAAGUGAAC
RNAcentral lists this ribosomal RNA (724 nucleotides) under Pichia membranifaciens. RNAcentral describes it as "LSU rRNA". It matches the Rfam family "Eukaryotic large subunit ribosomal RNA", at positions 1 to 730 of the family's 3401-position model. Lineage: Eukaryota; Fungi; Ascomycota; Pichiomycetes; Pichiales; Pichiaceae. The record is from RNAcentral.